Molecule: ribosomal RNA, 366 nt
Filed under: uncultured organism
Description: bacterial SSU rRNA
Rfam family: Bacterial small subunit ribosomal RNA
Source: RNAcentral
CGGAGGAUCCAAGCGUUAUCCGGAAUCAUUGGGUUUAAAGGGUCCGUAGGCGGGUUUAUAAGUCAGUGGUGAAAGCCCAUCGCUCAACGAUGGAACGGCCAUUGAUACUGUAGAUCUUGAAUUAUUAGGAAGUAACUAGAAUAUAUAGUGUAGCGGUGAAAUGCUUAGAGAUUACAUGGAAUACCAAUUGCGAAGGCAGGUUACUACUAAUGGAUUGACGCUGAUGGACGAAAGCGUGGGUAGCGAACAGGAUUAGAUACCCUGGUAGUCCACGCCGUAAACGAUGGAUACUAGCUGUUCGGAGCAAUCUGAGUGGCUAAGCGAAAGUGAUAAGUAUCCCACCUGGGGAGUACGUUCGCAAGAAUG